This 254-nucleotide ribosomal RNA is filed under the name uncultured bacterium. RNAcentral describes it as "partial 16S ribosomal RNA". It matches the Rfam family "Bacterial small subunit ribosomal RNA", at positions 524 to 776 of the family's 1533-position model. The record is from RNAcentral.
UACGUAGGGGGCAAGCGUUGUCCGGAUUUAUUGGGCGUAAAAGGCUUGUAGGUGGCCACGCCAAGUCGGAUGUGAAAUCUCCCGGCUCAACUGGGAGGGGUCAUUCGAUACUGGCGGGCUCGAGGCCGGUAGGGGGAAGUGGAAUUCCCGGUGUAGUAGUGGAAUGCGUAGAUAUCGGGAGGAACACCAGUGGCGAAGGCGGCUUCCUGGACCGGUUCUGACACUGAGGAGCGAAAGCGUGGGGAGCGAUCCGG